RNAcentral lists this ribosomal RNA (253 nucleotides) under uncultured bacterium. RNAcentral describes it as "partial 16S ribosomal RNA". It matches the Rfam family "Bacterial small subunit ribosomal RNA", at positions 524 to 776 of the family's 1533-position model. The record is from RNAcentral.
UACAGAGGGUGCGAGCGUUAAUCGGAGUUACUGGGCGUAAAGGGCGCGUAGGCGGUGAGAUGAGUGUGAUGUGAAAGCCCCGGGCUUAACCUGGGAAGCGCAUCGCAAACUAUCUGACUGGAGUAUAUGAGAGGGUGGCGGAAUUUCCGGUGUAGCGGUGAAAUCCGUAGAUAUCGGGAGGAAUACCAGCGGCGAAGGCGGCCUUCUGGACGGUGACUGACGCUGAGACGCGAAAGCGUGGGGAGCAAACAGG